RNAcentral lists this ribosomal RNA (1225 nucleotides) under uncultured bacterium. RNAcentral describes it as "partial 16S ribosomal RNA". It matches the Rfam family "Bacterial small subunit ribosomal RNA", at positions 80 to 1298 of the family's 1533-position model. The record is from RNAcentral.
UGUCAUUCAACUUUAGUGGCGCAAGGGUGAGUAACAUGUGGACAACCUUCCAUAAAGCGUGAGAUAGCUCACCGAAAGGUGAAAUAAUAUCACAUACUGCCUUCGGGGUAUCCCCGAAACGCAAAAGCCGCGUUAAACCGGCGCUUUUUGAUGGGUCCGCACUCUAUCAGCUAGUUGGCGGGGUAAAAGCCCACCAAGGCUAUGACGGGUAGCUGGUCUGAGAGGACGACCAGCCACACUGGAACUGAGACACGGUCCAGACACCUACGGGUGGCAGCAGUCGAGAAUUUUUCUCAAUGGGGGAAACCCUGAAGGAGCGACGCCGCGUGGAGGAUGAAGGUCUUCGGAUUGUAAACUCCUGUCAUUGGGGAACAAAGUCGAGCUUGUCUCGGCCUGAUAGUACUCAAAGAGGAAGAGACGGCUAACUCUGUGCCAGCAGCCGCGGUAAUACAGAGGUCUCAAGCGUUGUUCGGAAUUAUUGGGCGUAAAGGGUGCGCAGGCGGCUUGGUUAGUUAGGUGUGAAAACUCGGAGCUCAACUCCGAAAUUGCAUUUAAUACUACCAAGCUCGAGUGCUGUAUAGGAAGCUGGAACUUACGGUGUAGCAGUGAAAUGCGUAGAUAUCGUAAUGAAGACCAGAGGCGAAAGCGAGCUUCUGAGCAGUUACUGACGCUCAUGCACGAAAGCCAAGGUAGCGAACGGGAUUAGAUACCCCGGUAGUCUUGGCAGUAAACAUUGCACGUUUGGUGCGGGCGGGGUCAAGCCCUUCCGUGCCGGAGUUAACACGUUAAACGUGCCGCCUGGGAAAUACGAUCGCAAGAUUAAAACUCAAAGAAAUUGACGGGGGCCCGCACAAGCGGUGGAGUAUGUGGCUUAAUUCGAUGCAACGCGAAAAACCUUACCCGGAUUUGACAUGUAUUGCUAAGGUGCUGAAAAGUGCCGAGGAUAGCAAUAUCCACCUUGCACAGGUGCUGCAUGGCUGUCGUCAGCUCGUGUCGUGAGAUGUUGGGUUAAGUCCCGCAACGAGCGCAACCCUCGCCCUUAGUUGCCAGCAUUAAGUUGGGCACUCUAAGGGGACUGCCGGUGAUAAGCCGAGAGGAAGGUGGGGAUGACGUCAAGUCCUCAUGGCCCUUACGGGCUGGGCUACACACGUGCUACAAUGGUGGUGACAGUGGGCAGCGAGACCGCGAGGUCGAGCUAAUCUCCAAAAGCCAUCUCAGUUCGGAU